UACGGAGGGUGCCAGCGUUAUUCGGAAUCAUUGGGUGUAAAGCGCGUGUAGGCGGUUUGGUAAGUCAGAUGUGAAAGCUUCGGGCUUAACCCGGAAAGUGCAUUUGAAACUACCAGACUUGAGUCCCGGAGAGGAAGGUGGAAUUCCCAGUGUAGAGGUGAAAUUCGUAGAUAUUGGGAGGAACACCGGUGGCGAAGGCGACCUUCUGGACGGUGACUGACGCUGAGACGCGAAAGCGUGGGGAGCAAACAGG
RNAcentral lists this ribosomal RNA (253 nucleotides) under uncultured bacterium. Its description in RNAcentral is "partial 16S ribosomal RNA". It matches the Rfam family "Bacterial small subunit ribosomal RNA", at positions 524 to 776 of the family's 1533-position model. The record is from RNAcentral.